Molecule: ribosomal RNA, 447 nt
Filed under: uncultured bacterium
Lineage: Bacteria
Description: SSU rRNA
Rfam family: Bacterial small subunit ribosomal RNA
Source: RNAcentral
AGGAUGAACGCUGGCGGUCUGCUUAACACAUGCAAGUCGAACGGAGUAGCAAUACUUAGUGGCGGACGGGUGAGUAACGCGUGAGAAUCUACCUUCAGGACGGAGACAACAGUUGGAAACGACUGCUAACCCCCGAUGUACCGAAAGGGCAAAUAUUUAUAGCCUGAAGAAGAGCUCGCGUCCGAUUAGCUAGUUGGAGAGGUAAAAGCUCACCAAGGCGACGAUCGGUAGCUGGUCUGAGAGGACGAUCAGCCACACUGGGACUGAGACACGGCCCAGACUCCUACGGGAGGCAGCAGUGGGGAAUUUUCCGCAUGGGCGAAAGCCUGACGGAGCAAGACCGCGUGGGGGAAGAAGGCUCUUGGGUUGUAAACCCCUUUUCUCUGGGAAGAACGCAAUGACGGUACCAGAGGAAUCAGCAUCGGCUAACUCCGCGCCAGCAGCCGC